This 292-nucleotide ribosomal RNA is filed under the name uncultured bacterium. RNAcentral's name for it is "partial 16S ribosomal RNA". It matches the Rfam family "Bacterial small subunit ribosomal RNA", at positions 505 to 796 of the family's 1533-position model. The record is from RNAcentral.
GUGUCAGCAGCCGCGGUAAGACGAACCGUGCGAACGUUGUUCGGAAUCACUGGGCUUAAAGGGCGCGUAGGCGGCUGCUCAAGUCCGGGGUGAAAGCCCCCAGCUUAACUGGGGAAGUGCCUUGGAUACUGAGCGGCUCGAGGGAGAUAGGGGUCGAGGGAACUUCUGGUGGAGCGGUGAAAUGCGUUGAUAUCAGAAGGAACGCCGGUGGCGAAAGCGCUCGACUGGAUCUCUACUGACGCUGAGGCGCGAAAGCCAGGGGAGCAAACGGGAUUAGAUACCCCGGUAGUCC